This 896-nucleotide ribosomal RNA is filed under the name uncultured bacterium. Its description in RNAcentral is "bacterial SSU rRNA". It matches the Rfam family "Bacterial small subunit ribosomal RNA", at positions 1 to 916 of the family's 1533-position model. The record is from RNAcentral.
UGAGUUUGAUCAUGGCUCAGGACGAACGCUGGCGGCGUGCUUAACACAUGCAAGUCGAACGAUGAAGCCCAGCUUGCUGGGUGGAUUAGUGGCGAACGGGUGAGUAACACGUGGGUGAUCUGCCCUGCACUCUGGGAUAAGCCUGGGAAACUGGGUCUAAUACCGGAUAUGACCUCGGGAUGCAUGUCCUGGGGUGGAAAGUUUUUCGGUGCAGGAUGAGCCCGCGGCCUAUCAGCUUGUUGGUGGGGUAAUGGCCUACCAAGGCGACGACGGGUAGCCGGCCUGAGAGGGCGACCGGCCACACUGGGACUGAGACACGGCCCAGACUCUUACGGGAGGCAGCAGUGGGGAAUAUUGCACAAUGGGCGCAAGCCUGAUGCAGCGACGCCGCGUGAGGGAUGACGGCCUUCGGGUUGUAAACCUCUUUCACCCAUGACGAAGCGCAAGUGACGGUAGUGGGAGAAGAAGCACCGGCCAACUACGUGCCAGCAGCCGCGGUAAUACGUAGGGUGCGAGCGUUGUCCGGAAUUACUGGGCGUAAAGAGCUCGUAGGCGGUUUGUCGCGUCGUCUGUGAAAUCCCGCAGCUCAACUGCGGGCUUGCAGGCGAUACGGGCAGACUCGAGUACUGCAGGGGAGACUGGAAUUCCUGGUGUAGCGGUGAAAUGCGCAGAUAUCAGGGGGAACACCGGUGGCGAAGGCGGGUCUCUGGGCAGUAACUGACGCUGAGGAGCGAAAGCGUGGGUAGCGAACAGGAUUAGAUACCCUGGUAGUCCACGCCGUAAACGGUGGGCGCUAGGUGUGGGUUUCCUUCCACGGGAUCCGUGCCGUAGCCAACGCAUUAAGCGCCCCGCCUGGGGAGUACGGCCGCAAGGCUAAAACUCAAAGGAAUUGACGG